RNAcentral lists this long non-coding RNA (1051 nucleotides) under Helianthus annuus (common sunflower). Its description in RNAcentral is "hypothetical non coding rna". Lineage: Eukaryota; Viridiplantae; Streptophyta; Magnoliopsida; Asterales; Asteraceae. The record is from RNAcentral.
AUGUUUGCACACAAUCAAAAUCGUUCAGUCCUUUUUCUUUCUUCUCGCCAUAUUGCCCCUUUUCUCUCAAAAUUGUAUUUAUAAAUUUUAGUUCUAUUUUCACCCCAUAAUAAUAAUAAAACCCUGCUCUGUUUUAAGUGUUUUAACCCUUGAUCACUGAUACCCUGUCCGACUAACGUAGGGCCCCGUAACGUAUGUCAAGGCUCUGCCUAAAUUCGUUGGGGUUCUGUCUCGUGACGUAGGGAUAAAGUAGAAUUGGGUCACUAUACUUAAUGUGAGUGCACUAUAUAUUUUAUUAAAUAACCCAGGAGUUAUACCCAAAAUAUAUCAACCAUCCUAAAGCACCCCUGACACCCUACACUUCUUAAAAUACGCCCCAUACGUGAAAACUGAACCCGAAAUAUAAUAUAGUAUUAAAACUAAAUAAAAAACAAGAAAUAGUAAGUUGAGGCGGGCCGCGUAGACCUACCCAAUCCUUACGCGGGCGGUACGAAGGUUGAUACCUGAUUCCUUUGAUUUUCUUAAGUUCAAGCGGGCCGCGUAAGCUACCCGUUAAGUUAACGUGGGCCGCGAGAGACCAAGAUAGUGGCGCAGCCCGGUGAUGACACGUGUCAUCAUCGUGGCGGGUCUAGGCGAUGAUCCGGACAAGCUAUACGUUGACCUGGAAUCAACGCGGGUCGCGUAAGCCCAGCCCAUGUGUUACGCAGGCCGCGAGAAGACCAGUUUCAGCAACUAUAUAAGAAGGCCAUCAGGUUCAACCAGAAUUCGUUCAUUCUUCGUUUCUCAAUCUCAAUUUCUGAAUAUUAGGAUUUAUACGCGGGUAUUAUACCCCCCUAAUUAGCGAAGCUCUGCCUCGUUGUAAGUAUUAUAACCCCUGGAUACGUAUUAGAUACUCUGCCCGAUUGAUCUAGGGUUCCGUAACGGCUGUCGUGGUUCUGCCCGACGUAGUCGUUGGAAUGCCGUCUCGGGUGUGACAACUGUGCUCUGUAAUCUCCGUACGAUGAAAAACAAUGUUGAUUAUUAAUAAAACAAUGUGCUUUGGUGUUAUUAU